Molecule: non-coding RNA, 97 nt
Organism: Mycena rosella
Lineage: Eukaryota; Fungi; Basidiomycota; Agaricomycetes; Agaricales; Mycenaceae
Source: the annotation of a GenBank genome assembly
GGCCUGGUAGCACAACGGUUAGUGCCUCUGCUCACGCUGGCGGUCUACAGACAAUAAUCUUCUGUAGCAGAUCCCCGUUCGAUUCGGGGUCAGGCCC